UACGUAGGGUGCAAGCGUUGUCCGGAAUUAUUGGGCGUAAAGAGCUCGUAGGCGGUUUGUCGCGUCUGUCGUGAAAGCUUGGGGCUUAACCCCAAGUCUGCGGUGGAUACGGGCAGACUAGAGGCAGGUAGGGGAGAACGGAAUUCCCGGUGUAGCGGUGAAAUGCGCAGAUAUCGGGAGGAACACCGGUGGCGAAGGCGGGUCUCUGGGCAACUACUGACGCUGAGGAGCGAAAGCGUGGGGAGCGAACAGG
This 253-nucleotide ribosomal RNA is filed under the name uncultured bacterium. Its description in RNAcentral is "partial 16S ribosomal RNA". It matches the Rfam family "Bacterial small subunit ribosomal RNA", at positions 524 to 776 of the family's 1533-position model. The record is from RNAcentral.